AGCGAACGCUGGCGGCAUGCUUACACAUGCAAGUCGCACGAAGGUUUCGGCCUUAGUGGCGGACGGGUGAGUAACGCGUAGGAAUCUAUCCAUGGGUGGGGGAUAACACUGGGAAACUGGUGCUAAUACCGCAUGAUACCUGAGGGUCAAAGGCGCAAGUCGCCUGUGGAGGAGCCUGCGUUCGAGUAGCUAGUUGGUGGGGUAAAGGCCUACCAAGGCGAUGAUCGAUAGCUGGUUUGAGAGGAUGAUCAGCCACACUGGGACUGAGACCCGGCCCAGACUCCUACGGGAGGCAGCAGUGGGGAAUAUUGGACAAUGGGGGCAACCCUGAUCCAGCAAUGCCGCGUGUGUGAAGAAGGUCUUCGGAUUGUAAAGCACUUUCGACGGGGACGAUGAUGACGGUACCCGUAGAAGAAGCCCCGGCUAACUUCGUGCCAGCCGCCGCGGUAA
This 450-nucleotide ribosomal RNA is filed under the name uncultured bacterium. RNAcentral describes it as "partial 16S ribosomal RNA". It matches the Rfam family "Bacterial small subunit ribosomal RNA", at positions 29 to 523 of the family's 1533-position model. The record is from RNAcentral.